GGCUGGGUAGCAAAGCGGUUAUGCAGAGGCCUGCAAAGCCUUAUAGACCGGUUCGACUCCGGUCCCAGCCUCCA
Molecule: transfer RNA, 74 nt
Filed under: Candidatus Vesicomyidisocius calyptogenae
Lineage: Bacteria; Pseudomonadati; Pseudomonadota; Gammaproteobacteria; Pseudothioglobaceae (SeqCode)
Also listed under: 1 other name
Description: Candidatus Vesicomyosocius okutanii HA tRNA-Cys-GCA-1-1
Rfam family: tRNA
About the family: Transfer RNA (tRNA) molecules are approximately 80 nucleotides in length. Their secondary structure includes four short double-helical elements and three loops (D, anti-codon, and T loops). Further hydrogen bonds mediate the characteristic L-shaped molecular structure. tRNAs have two regions of fundamental functional importance: the anti-codon, which is responsible for specific mRNA codon recognition, and the 3' end, to which the tRNAs corresponding amino acid is attached (by aminoacyl-tRNA synthetases). tRNAs cope with the degeneracy of the genetic code in two manners: having more than one tRNA (with a specific anti-codon) for a particular amino acid; and 'wobble' base-pairing, i.e. permitting non-standard base-pairing at the 3rd anti-codon position.
Source: RNAcentral